GAGUCGGACACAACUGAGAGACUAAACUGAACUGAAGGCCCUGUCUCCAAAGAUAGUCACAUUCUGAGGUACUGGGGGUUAAGAGUUUAAUAUAUAAAUUUUGGUGGCAACAGAAUUCGCCCCAUAACAAAGUCCUCACCUCUGGUACCUGUGAAUAUGACCUUACUUGAAAAUAAGACCUUUGCGAACAUAAUCAAACUGAGAUUGCACCAGAUUAGGGAAGGUGCUAAAUCCAAUGCCUGGUGUCCUUAUUAGGAAAGAGAGAGAGAUACAGAGGCACAGAGGAAAUACACAGGGAAAGGAGACCACGUGAAGAUAGAGGCAGAGCCUAUAGUUAUGCUGCCACAAUGAAAAGAACGCCAAUGACUGCUGGCCACUACUGAGAGAAGAAACAAGGAGGGAUUCUUCCUUAGACCCUUUAGAGGGAACAUGGCCUUGCUGACAUCUGAAUUUCAGACAUCUAGCCUCCAGAACAGUGAGAGAAUAAGUUUCUGUUACUUUAAGCUACUCAGUUUGUACCAGUAAUACAUCAUCUGACAUUAUCUGUUUGUUAAUUGUCUUCUGUAUCCUCCACUAGAAUGUAAGUUCCAUGAGGGCAGGGACUUGCCUCUCUUGGUCACUGUUGUUUUGCCAGCAUAAUGGAUACUUAAUGAAUGAAUGGAUGGAUGAGGGCAGUUUUGAAGGGUGGGGAUGAGGAACAGUGGUGGGAGAAGGAAAAAGAGAAGGAAGGCAUUGAAAAAGACAUGUGAUAACGAGUUUCAAAUAUCCUGAGUGGACUUCUGGUGGAGCUGGUAAAGGGGUUGAAUCCUGUCCAGUUUGAUGUGGCAAGAAAUAGGGACCAAAUAUGGAAAUUGGGCCAGAAGAGCACUGCGAGCUUUAACUCCCAAUGAGUAGAAAUUGAGGUGAUUACAUUGGCCUUUCACGGGUCAUGGAAAUAGCAGGGCCCAAGUUGCUUGCAACCAGAUCCCCAAGAGCAAGAGGGCAAAUGACAUGCAGUUUAUAGUCUAGAUAUGUAGUUUCCUAGAUUCAUCUCCCGUGUCCCCCACAUUGCCCAUGGCAUUGAACUUUUUAUCAAUUUCGUCUGAGUUUGGGGAAAUUUUAUCAAACUCAUUCUAAUUCUCUAGUUUAGUUUUCUGCAGUAGACUAUCUAGCUCCAGUAUAUUUUUCAUCUGAAAGCAAUGUUUCCUGACCUGAGGGUGGUUCUGUUUUUAGAAAUAAAAUGUCAUUUCAAAUUUUAUUCUAAAUCCAAAUGACAGAUUUUUAUAUUGUUCUCCUUUAUGUUUUAAAAGAAGUCCCUUACAACUUUUUUUCCUGAAUCCUUAGAAGGUCUUUAUAAGUUGAACUUCUAACUCACUCUCUCCAUUCAGUAAGUUUUUCCUAUUUAUUCUUCCUGAUAUUUAUGCUUAACCAUUACUGGGCUUGAUAUGUCAGAGGCUGUGUGGAUCUCAGUUUAAAUAGCUUAAUACAAGAUACAAGGAAAAGUUUAUAUAUGUUUGUUGUUUUGCUUUGAUAAAUAGGGGUUUAGACUGGAAGGUUUAGACGCUGUUGACUGGAAGGAAUAGAAAGAGUGUUUUGUAAAGGAGAUGGACAUGUGGCAGGAAAAUGAACUGCUGGGCUCAGUGUUUUCUCCUUCACGUUUAUUGCAGCAAAUGGUGAGUCCUGCCCCACUUCUUCCAAAAUCAUGCUUGUCCUUGUUAAUAGUCUCCAAGGGCAAUGCCCUUGCUUUACUUAACCCCUUUGUCUCACUAAGUUGAGCAUAACUGGAAGUGAUGUCCAUUGGUCUCUCCCUGCCCCAUAUAUAUUUGCUUAUAUAUGCCUAUAAAAUGUUUGAGUUUUUUCUUUCCCAUUUGGCCCACUGCCUAUCUGUUUCUACUUAGAGCUACUCUAGCCAUGAGAGCUUCUGUGAAAUUCCAUCUAUUAUUUCUCAUGAGUUGACCCAUUAGAUAAUCCUUUCUUUAAUAGAAUCCAUCUACACAAUAUACCACCCUUCUAUGUUUCCUAGGAUUGCUAAGAAUGUUUCCAUAUUAUCUAUUUCUUUGUUUAUUAUAGUGGAAAUUUGGGAGAGAGAAAGUUAAUUUCUUGGGAUCAAGUCAAAAUUGGGGAAGUGAUAUGGCAGUUGGAAACUUUUACAGAGAAGACAGGGCAUUAGAGGGCAGAAGGGGCACAUGUGAUCUUGGGUUAGAAAGUUCGGGAUUAAAUCCCAGGUAGGCCUCUUCCUGGUUAUGUAAUCCUGACUAUUUGACCCCACAGUGUCAAACUCUCAUUCUUACAUCUCCAUGCUCUUCAGGAAUAGAAAGCAUUUGUAUGGUGAAAAGGAGGAGGGAAGACUUAGAAUGUUGAAAACAAAGGCACAAACAUUGGAAAGAGGCCAACCUGUAGGGAUAAAAACAAAGUGGGGUGUUGUUCAUGUUGUGGUUGCCUAUCCUACAGUCAUUCCUUCUUCUUUCUGGCUGGAAGAGUCCAAUUUUUUCUACCCUCCCUUAUAGGUGGUGGUCCCUCUCCUCCUACCAAGUUUGAUACACACAUGAUACAGUAGCCAAGGAGUCACGAAGGGACACUGUGGGGACUUCUGGGAAAGAUCUUCUAAUUGUUGAGAAGAGAACAGGAGACAGAAUUGCCUUCUCUUCUUGCACUGGACAGUUUUGUAUAGAAGGGCUUGAGCACAGGAGUGCGAUCCUGAGAAUGAGCUCCUUGCUGAUGAUGGGCUGAUGGGCCUGGGAGGUUAGAGAGGAAAGGAAGAAGCCAGGGUACUUGAUGAUGUUGUGAAGACAUUGAGUUAAUCAACCCUACGAAUUCUGCCACAUUAGACUUCUUUAAUUAAUAAAGCCAGUGGAACUGUGUGGAUUUUCUUUUCUAAAAAUUCGCAGCCCAAAGCAUGCAAAAUGAUCCAGGAGAGACAAAUGUAUGUUUGAGUGGACUGGGAAGCAAAUGUGGUUCAGUUAGAAGGAGGAAUGCCAUUAAGAGCUUUGAAAACCAGGAAGAUGUGUUGAAGCUUGGUGUGGUAGAUUACAGGGAGCUACAGAAAAUGUUUGAACAAACAGAUCUUGAUGAAUGCAGUGUUUUAGAUGAGAAUCAUUUGAGAAUAUGAUGACUAAAGUAAUGAAUGAAAGUGUCUGAAUUUAAGAAGACCAGCUAAAAAUUUUGGCAGUGGUCCAGGCAUGAAACAAUAGACACUGGACCAGAGUCUUGUUAUUAGUGGAAAUCACUGUGUACUUUUGGUGUAAUUUUCCCUUCUUUUCUCUUGUCUCCUGUAACGCUUGCUGGAGGAGAGCUUCUUGUUAGUGAGACAGGACGUACAUCAUUUGGACAAAGUUUUCCAUAUAAAAGAUGCUGUCAAGGAGCAGGUUGCUGGUUUAUCAAGAAGAGAGACGAAUGCCUGGGGAAGUGGGAGAUGGAAGAUCUAAGAAUGAGAUAUAAACAGCACCAUCCCUGCCUGCACUCUCCCUCCCUUUUCCAUGGGCUUCAACUCACUGCAAUGGAAAAACCAAAGGAGAAACUGCUGCCCCAUGAUGACAGGUGGGGACAUCCAGCAGCACCUGACAUCUGCCUCUGAGCUUGAGAAGCCUCUCAGUGGCUGUUUCACUUUGCUCACUGAGGGAGAUCCAGACAAGAGGAAGAGGGAAAGGAGCACCAGUACUUGAGUGCCAGUACUUGACUUGUACUUGUGUUUGAUUGGACAGAACUGAGUCACGUGGCCACCACUAGCCAUGAGGGAGUCUGAAAAGGAACAAGCCAAGAACCAGUUGGCUGCAGAGAUCAGCCUACAGGGGUCAGCUGGUCUGUAAUAUGGCACACAGCUGGGCAAGAACAAGACAUGGAUCUGGGG
Molecule: long non-coding RNA, 3826 nt
Organism: Bubalus bubalis (water buffalo)
Lineage: Eukaryota; Metazoa; Chordata; Mammalia; Artiodactyla; Bovidae
Exons: 3
Source: RefSeq, a predicted model, not a curated record